This 22-nucleotide microRNA is filed under the name Ptychodera flava. RNAcentral describes it as "Pfl-Mir-22-P1_3p (mature (guide))". The record is from RNAcentral. Lineage: Eukaryota; Metazoa; Hemichordata; Enteropneusta; Ptychoderidae.
AAGCUGCCAGGUGAAGAGCUAU